This 246-nucleotide long non-coding RNA is filed under the name Athene cunicularia (burrowing owl). Its description in RNAcentral is "lncRNA (ENSACUG00000002882.1)". Lineage: Eukaryota; Metazoa; Chordata; Aves; Strigiformes; Strigidae. The record is from RNAcentral.
CAAAAUUUCCCUUUUAUAAGUGGGACUUGUUAAGGCUUUUUUUUAUUUACGUCGUCUGGGGGGUUUAAUUGUGCCUCUUCCCCGUGUUUCUCUUUAACAGUCCUAUUCUUUUGCUGAGAACUGAGCAGAUGUUGCCCUUCUCUGGGAAUGUCUGGUGCCCUGCUUGUCCUUCCCAUUUGAACACCAAAGAAUGCUGUGUGCAGGCACAUGUCUUGAUGACCUGAAGGAGAACUUUGGUAGGCUGAG